UUUCUUCGUUCUUCGCAAGUUGAUCAACAACUGGAAGAUGGAUCGAAAGCUUCUCAUCGUUCUUCUCAUCGCGCUCAUCUGCUUCGCUGACCAGGGAGAGAGUUGGUGGGGUCGUCGUCGUCGUCGUCACUAUUACUAUUAUGGUCGCCGUCGUCGCUGGAACGAACAAAGUGGCGAGAACAUGAAAGAAGAAAUGGGAUUAGCUGAGAACGACAUGCCGACUGAAGAAGAUAUGCCGGAAAUGUAGAUGAAAGGAAUGUAGCUUCAGUGACUCAAUCAGAAGAAAUAUGUUCACUGAAACUAAUUUUCUCGCAUUUAAGCAAUAAAUACAAAAUAAAUGCAAAUAAUAAACUCGUGUAUAACAG
Ciona intestinalis (vase tunicate) is the source of this 365-nucleotide non-coding RNA. The record is from RefSeq and is a predicted model, not a curated record. NCBI's taxonomy places the organism in Eukaryota, Metazoa, Chordata, Ascidiacea, Phlebobranchia, Cionidae.